ACCUAUUAAUUUAGUGAUACAAAUAAAAGUCCAAAAAAGGAUACAUACACAAAGUAAAUAUAUACACGUAAUAAACGUAGAAAAUAUACAUAAAGCACAUAAAACUGUAAAAAUACAUAAAAAAAACGUAUAUACACAAACUGGUUAUAAUAAGGUGCUUCAGUUCAUUGGACUUUCUUCCGUUCUUUCACUAGCCAACUUACUGUAGGUCCUUUUAUAAGUCGCUAGAGCAUAUCUCCUCGCUUGGGGAGGCUCCCAUGUGAUUUUAUCAUUAAUAAGCUUUUUCUCAUUUGUCCUUUUAAGUAUCUCAAGUGAUUCAGUGAUAACAGGUUGCGUACAAUCCUUGAGUGGCUUUAUCUGUCUCACUCCUUUCUAGUCAGUAUCUAUGUUUCCAUCAUAUGUCUCCACCGCAAGUGCCGUAUUUAGGUUUGCUUGGCAUAUAUCCCUUCUGUGUUCUUCCAUCCUUGCGCCUAUUGACCUUGAAGUGACCCCAAUAUACACAGAAUUUUCUUUGGAAAUAUUAUCAAUCACAGGUAUCUCAUAAACACCUUUCUUUUCUGUUUGCUUCAAGGGAUCUUUUUCAUUUCUUAAAAUAUUAUAUAAUGUUGGGUUUCUCUUGACUGCCAUCUUUUUUCUUAUUCUUCCUAAAGAUCUUCUGAAUGACUUUAAGCUUCUUUAGAUGGUACGGAACCGACCUAUAUUCGGUCUCCUGCUCCUCAUGGCCUACCAGUUUUACUUGGACCAUAGUUUCAUUCAUCUGUUCUAAUAUUCAGUUUAAGAAUAGCUUACUAUAUCCAUGCUCUUUACCUAUUUGGAAUAUAUAUGUAAGUUCUUCCUUUAGUUCUUCAUCCCCACUACUGUAUAGGCGGGCCUUCUGAAGAGGCUUCUAAAUACUGACUUCUUAAAGACUAUCGGGUUGUUCAACCACUUCGGUAUUAGCAUGGCUUUAUAGGUCGGCUUCCUGUAGACUUGAGUUCUAGCACAUCCAUUCCACAGUUUAAUCUGAAUGUUCAGGAAAUGCACAUUGUUUCUACUUAGUUGGUCUCUCUUUAGUUUAAGGCCAUAUUGGCCUAAGAUGAGCUUUUGUGCAAAAUCGUCUACCAGUUGAUCAUUGUUCCAACAUAUCAAGUAUCGUCCAAAUAUCUACUAUAUAGGUAAAUAUUCUGCCUAAAUUUGAUUAAUUUCUGCUCUUCCACAGUCCUAAGGAGUAUCUCUGCCAAAGCUCCAGCAAUCGGGCUGCCAAUCGGCACCCCUUUGACAUGCCUAAAGAUUUUUCCUUUGAACAUGAAAUACGAGUUGUAGCAGAUCAAGUGUGCUACAUCUCUAACUAGCAUAGUAUCUAAAUUUCUAUCUGGCAGAUUUUCCAGGAGAAAACAAUAAAUUUGUAGAAUUAAAAUUGUUUGCGUGGUUUGACAUGUGUACGAUUGAGUGUUCUAUGCUAACGACCUAGUUCUGUUCGAGCAUUCUUUUUAUGUUCUUUCAUGUUCUG
Molecule: long non-coding RNA, 1489 nt
Filed under: Androctonus crassicauda
Lineage: Eukaryota; Metazoa; Arthropoda; Arachnida; Scorpiones; Buthidae
Source: RNAcentral